This is a long non-coding RNA of Columba livia (rock pigeon), 1732 nucleotides long. RefSeq lists it as uncharacterized. The transcript is spliced from 3 exons. The record is from RefSeq and is a predicted model, not a curated record. NCBI's taxonomy places the organism in Eukaryota, Metazoa, Chordata, Aves, Columbiformes, Columbidae.
UGUGCUGCAAUCGGUACUUUAAUGUGUGUACAGAUAAACAUUCUGUAACUUGUCUGACAGCGCAGUGCUGGGCUACGGGACUCUGGUAGUGACAGGAUGCUGAUUAUUGCUGCGAAACAAACCCAAGUUUGUUAGCAAGAAGUGUUUCUCCAGAUGGUUUAGGAUAGACAGUGUGCAGAAUUUGGAAGAUGUGGUGCAAACAAAAGUGCAUCUUCUGGCCAUGUUUAUGGGUUGUUUAACUACAAGGAUGAAUCUCUAGGUACCUGAUUUAUUACUGGGAAAAGGUUAGAAAGUAUGAUAGCUAACAAUACCCACAUGUCGAGGUAAAUAAUUUUGUAGUAAAGUUUUAAAAUUUUUUUCUCAGCAAUUAAUAGACAGUUGCCAGAAGAAGAGUAAUCCUUUGUUUGUUUCACACAACUCCACACUGUUUCUCAGAAUUCAAAGUAUGAUCAUAAUAAGUUCAGCUGAAAAAAGGUAUUAAUUAGCACUGUGACUUAAGAUGGUCCAGUUCCAGAGCUGCAGGACACUAUCAAAAUAUCACAUUUACCCACCUGCCCCACCACGGUGUCUCCAUGGCUGCAGGGCAACCUCUGCUCCGGCCCCUGGAGCACCUCGUCCUCCUCCUGCUCUGUGAGUCUCACACGGAUUUUCCCUCACACCGCCUAUGCAGCCUUUUGUCCUUUUUUGAAUCUGUUGUCAUAGAGGCGCCAAUUGCUUUGCUGAUGGGCUCCGCAGUGUCCUGUGGUGCGGCCAUUGUGGAGCCACCAGAACCGGCUGGAACCGGCUGUGUCCAGCACGGGGCAGCGCCAGGUCUCUCCUCAGAGAGCCCCCCCCAGCUCCCCUCAGCCAGCUGCACCCAAUACACACUAUCCUCUUAAACUAAAAUCCAAACUGCUUCAAAUCACAGUGGUUAAGGGUAGAAGGAAUCCCAGCGAGAAGAAAACCAGAUACUAAAUUACUUGAAAAAAUACAAGACAGAGUUCAGCACAGGUUAUUCACAGCUAUUUUACAUAGGCACUGUUAAACCAGACCGUGCAAGGUGAACUUCUACACUGUAUUGACUUCCAUUCUGUGAGGAAUCAUCAAAAGUAAAGAGUGAGCUUUGGAAACAGAAAGAGUGUUGCACUCAAGCAAGAGCCUCCCCAUUGCCUUGGCUGCUGGACGACAUUUGGACGGCAGAAGCAUUAGUCAGGUUACUGAGGUUGUCUUUCACUUGUUUUGAAAAGUGCUAAAGUAUUUCUAACACCCACCUAAAGCCAAGUUUUCAAAUUAUCCCAUUAAACAUUAUGAAAGAGAACAUGUUCAUGGCUCUUUAUAAGAUACAGUUGACAUAACUCUUUCUCCUUGGGCUGCUGGAGCAAAAAGAGAAAUCUGUAGACAGUGAUCAAAUAUCCUUUUCCUUUACAUCCCUGUUCCCAUCAUGAAAAUUCCAGAUCACAGUAAGGGAGCCGAUUAUCAGUGGCAGCUCUGGAGCCCUUAUGUGCCAGCCCCCAAGAGCACAGAGAUAUAAAUCCAUCAAUGCAUGCACGAUAAAAAUGAUUUUAUCUGCUCCUUCAACAUAGAAGAAAAAAAUUCUCAGGGGGGAAAUCCAAAAUGAAAAAUGAUCUGCAGAGUGUAAAAUAAAGCUUCAGAGAGCAAACCAGUAUUAUUCCUAAAGAAAAACAUAAAAUUUUUCCCACUUAAUGACAUCCAAAAGAUGACUAACUUCAAGUUACUGCUUGCUGCAUGCUAA